Long non-coding RNA from Mya arenaria, 855 nucleotides. RefSeq lists it as uncharacterized. Lineage: Eukaryota; Metazoa; Mollusca; Bivalvia; Myida; Myidae. The record is from RefSeq and is a predicted model, not a curated record. The transcript has 4 exons.
GACCGCAAAGGAUUAUGGUCUAUUGGAAAGUCGAAAAUGUUUGUCGAAAUAAUGCGCCAAAUAAACUGAAGUGUUGUUUCGUUUAUUAAAGCCGGCCUAAGUGAGCUAACAAAGAAAUCAUCAGUCCACAAAAGAAUCAACCAGGGAAGGAGAAAAACAUUCAAAGCUGCAAAUUGCCAAAUCCAUCACCGGCCUAAAGGAGCUAACAAAAAAAAUCAUCAGUCCAUAAAAGAAUCAACCAGUGAAGGAGAAAAACAUUCAAAGCUGUAAAUUGCCAAAUCCAUCAGUUGGAAGAUGGAUGUCAAAGUCUCAGACAAAAGCUUCCAGAGUUGAGGAGAGAACACUUCAACAAAAACAAGCACGAGAAGAAUGACUGCAAAAAAGUUUUUCGCAGAUUCAUUUCCUUAUCAAGUGUAUUUAAGGAAAAUGGACCUGUCUACAGAGACUAGAUGUAAAUUGUCAAGGACUGCAAUGAGCAAUUCAAUGACUCCUUUCUAAUUGUGUCAAGUGUCAUAAAAAAUUAAAACUGUUAUAAAUGGACGUGUAGUAAUGAUGAAAUUAUUACCCUGUUUGCGAAUAACAUUAACUAUUCAUGAACUUAGUUCAUGAAUGACAUUUUGAAAAAAUCAUGUUCAUGAACUGUCAAGUUCAUUAACUAAGUGGGAGUUCAUGAACAUGAUUUGUCCAAAUUGUCAUUCAUGAAUAGUUUAUGUUUUUCUUUAAAAGCACACGCCAGGGGCUAGAAUAAGGUUAGGUGAAUAAGGGUCCUCUUAUUUAAACUUCAGAUAGGCUUGCACAAGCUCGCAAAGUGAAUUGUAACGAGCUUAUCAAGCUCGUAAUAUUGCUCAUACAAGC